This 470-nucleotide ribosomal RNA is filed under the name uncultured bacterium. RNAcentral describes it as "bacterial SSU rRNA". It matches the Rfam family "Bacterial small subunit ribosomal RNA", at positions 326 to 793 of the family's 1533-position model. The record is from RNAcentral.
ACGCUAUCACUCCUACGGGAGGCAGCAGUAGGGAAUAUUGGGCAAUGGAGGCAACUCUGACCCAGCCAUGCCGCGUGCAGGAAGACGGUCCUCUGGAUUGUAAACUGCUUUUGAAUGGGAAGAACCCUGUCCUUGCGAGGGCAGCUGACGGUACCAUUAGAAUAAGCCACGGCUAACUACGUGCCAGCAGCCGCGGUAAUACGUAGGUGGCGAGCGUUAUCCGGAUUUAUUGGGUUUAAAGGGUGCGUAGGCGGCGGUUUAAGUCGAUGGUGAAAGGUAGCAGCUCAACUGUUUUACAUGCUGUCGAUACUGAACUGCUUGAGUUACCAAAAAGCAAGUAGAAUUUCCGGUGUAGCGGUGAAAUGCAUAGAUACCGGAAGGAAUACCGAUUGCGAAGGCCACUUGCUAUAGGUAAACUGACGCUGAUGCACGAAAGCGUGGGAAGCGAACAGGAUUAGAUACCCUGGUAG